RNAcentral lists this unclassified non-coding RNA (1879 nucleotides) under Leishmania donovani. RNAcentral describes it as "gene:LdHU3.32.0170(CDS-product:mitochondrial_carr ier_protein_putative)". Lineage: Eukaryota; Euglenozoa; Kinetoplastea; Trypanosomatida; Trypanosomatidae. The record is from RNAcentral.
AUAUACGGGGCGUGGCGGUUUGUGCUUGUGUGUUGUUUUCUCCGGCCGUUGUCCCUGCCCCGACGACCAUUUUGGGUGCUCGCACUAAGAAAUCGCGGCGGCACACCACGCGAAAUUGUACUUGCUUGAUGUCUUAAAUUGUGGAGGUGUGUAGAUCGUAUGGAGUCGCUCGUGGCUGGCGCGUGUGCCGGGUUGUUCGUUGACCUUAGUCUCUACCCCAUAGACACGGUAAAGACGCGCCUUCAGUCCAAGGAAGGUUUUUUGGCUUCCGGCGGCUUUAAUAAUGUUUACAAGGGCUUGAGUGCUAUGGCGGUGGGCUCAGUGCCUGGCGGGGCUGCGUUUUUCUUCGGCUACGACACAGCGAAGCGAUUGCUCUUGUCACUUGCAGCUCCCAGCCGCGCUGCAAGCGGGAUCGAGGCCACUUCGGUAGCCAUCACGCCGAGUGUAAUGGCGUGCCAGGCCGCGGCCGCCGUAUGCGGGGAGUGCUUUGCUUGCUGUAUCCGUGUACCGGUAGAGAUGGUAAAGCAGCAGAUGCAAGCCGGACAUCACGCAACCAUCACCUCCGUGUUGCGUAACGUCACCAACAACACGGCAACGCCGCUGGUGGUUCCACGAGACUUGGCGGCAGCUGUGCCGCCGCCGCCGCCAAUUCGUCUCUCCGGUAUGCAUCAUCUUUUUCGAGGCAUGCCGAUCAUGCUGAUGCGCGAGCUGCCGUUCUCCGUCAUUCAGAUGUCCCUGUACGAAUCUCUCAAGGCUAAAAUGCGCGCGUCCACGGACCACCCCUACGCCUCCCUCAGCCUUCCCUUUUGCGGUGCCUUCAGUGGCGGGUGCGCCGCCUUCCUCACAACCCCAUUGGACGUUCUAAAAACACGGAUCAUGUUGUUCCGGCGCGGGCCGGGGCAAGAGAAAGUGAGCAUACGGUAUGUACUGGAUGAGCUGAUUCGUGAGCCAGCCCGACCCGGUGACAGGUUCGGCUACGCACAGCGCUUCUUCCGCGGCGCCUCGACACGCGUGCUAUGGAUCUCGCUAGGCGGGAGCAUUUUCUUCGGCACCUACGAGUUUGUCAAGUCCGGCUUCCAAAGCGAGCACACGCUAUAGCAAGCAACCCUACCCUAAAUCCACGUACAGACUGUUGCCUUCGACGUCGCUCUCGAGAAGGUUCACUCAGUGUCUUACCCGCUUUUUUGUGGAUGUCCUUUCUUUACGGAAAGGGGGCCCUUGUGCGGGGACUCAGAGGGCACCAAGGAGGGGUGAAAAGGGAUGGCGAGAGCGCGGAGAGGGGGCGAGCCGCUGCAGAACAGAAGCGACGGUAUCGUCUUCGGCCUCACUACAGUCUGUUGUCUCCUCCGUUCGACCUCUCUUGCAUCCUAGGUGAGUUACGUGGCGGACUGCGCUGAUGACUCCGGGUUCUGCCGCUCCCUCUUACUUCUCAACAGACACAUACUUACUCCCCGUCAUAGCGGCAACCACAUCAGUUAAUCAUCAUCAUCUUUGGCCUAUCCCACUCCUAAGUAUUUGCGAUUCGCUUUUCAAGACACACAAACACACACGCACACGCACACGCACACAGUAACGGCUCCAGGCAGGGAAGAUCGGCUUUGAUGAAUAAAGUCUGCGCGGCGUCACUGGAGCUUGCAUCAGUGUUCUGGUCACGUGCUCUUCUUUCACCCCGUUGCCGCAACUCGCCAACGACACCCGCUUCGCUGGCCACGCCAUCCAGCCGCUGCAUUGCUUCCGUUUUGAUGACACCUGAGAUGAGGCCCUUGACGCCUUUUUCGUGUGCUUUAGUGAAGCAUCGGUGUCUCCAGGACGCGAGCUGACUAGCGUCUUUCUCCACGACCCUCUUGAUGCUCCGCACGUCGACAAACACUUUCCAGCU